ACCACUGAGAGUACAGAAAACACCUGUGAGAGAGGCUGGCAUCCAGGGCGGGAAACCUCUUUUGAGGGCGUGAACCAGGAUGUGAAGCAGCAUUUGAAUUCUUGCUGCUCUCUUCUGGAGCAGUGGGAUAUUGGGCAGUUCACUUAACCUCUCUGAGCUCCUUCCUCAAGCCUUUUUUUCCUGACUACAGCGAGCAACAGCUGUUUGAGAUGGUGGAGCACAUUCUUGCUGGUGAAAGGAAGCAAGGUCAACAGAGACUCAUAGAGGAAACAUUCAACAACUUGAACAGUAAGCAAGUUGCAGUUUCCGUCUCAGUGGACUGAGGUGAUACAGCAGAUUUUGCUGUGGACCAAGAUCCAGUUUUCCUCAUAACACUCACAGGUAUUAAAUGACUAAUCCAGAUCCCCAGCACCACAUCAAGAAGGAAAACAGCACAUGCCAACGUCAACACAUCUUUGAAAAGUUGCCACCAACGCUUCGCAUAAGAGGACUACUGGAAGGGAAGCUGAAUUCAGGGUCCUAUUAGGGUGAUAUUUGCGAGGCACUGUCUAACCCGAGAGAGUCCCGAAGCGUCCUGCAACAGGAAGAUGCCCUGGACCCAAUGGAUGGUCAGGAGAUGCGAAGUAACUGCCAGGGUGGCCUGGGCACUCCCAACAGACCACAAAUGUUGAUUUCAGAAUCUUUGGCACUUUCCAAAAUGUGGCUGAGCAGUAAUUUGGAAGCCUAAAUCCUGACUUUAGAAAUUCAUAAGAACAACCAAUGUUUUAUAAACUCAACAGAAAGUAAAAUAAACAAACCCAGGGUUUU
RNAcentral lists this long non-coding RNA (807 nucleotides) under Homo sapiens (human). RNAcentral describes it as "PREDICTED lncRNA (TCONS_00255836)". Lineage: Eukaryota; Metazoa; Chordata; Mammalia; Primates; Hominidae. The record is from RNAcentral.